RNAcentral lists this long non-coding RNA (637 nucleotides) under Gallus gallus (chicken). RNAcentral's name for it is "long non-coding RNA NONGGAT009031". Lineage: Eukaryota; Metazoa; Chordata; Aves; Galliformes; Phasianidae. The record is from RNAcentral.
GUGAGACCAAAACCUCAGGUCUGCAGUAUGAAAGCCGGAGCCUGUGGCAGGUAUCAACAAUGCUCCCGUGGAAAGGAAAGCUGUAUCUCUGUCCCAUCAAACUGUGGUGGAGAGCAGUGGACCAGGACUUGCCACUGGGCACAGAGAUGAUCCAGAGACAAGGGAGGACAUGAGGAGACCCUGGACAGGGACAAGGCUAGGAAAGGAGUGGAUUACGCUGCUUUACUGGAGGAUCAACACCACCUUUCAGCCUUUCCUCAGUUCAGAAGGGCACUGUAACACCCGUCUCCCAGCAGCAUCAGCAGCCAGAGGAGCCCCAAAACAGCUCUUCUCCUCCCAGCACCUGAUCUCAGUAUGUGGUCCAGACACAGGAUCCAGGAUUUUCCUCUUAUAUAAGGGAUGGCUUUACUUUACCCUGUUCCAGACAUCCAGAAGUUGCACUUCGGCUUCCUCUCAGGCACCAGGGAAGGGAAAUGUGCCUCCAAAGUGGGAGUCAGUCCAUCCCAGGAAGGUGCCAAGGAGCCAAUGAUGGACAUUAAAAUCCAGACAACAUAAACCCUUUGCACUGUGGUCUGCCAGUGUCCUCCAUCCUUUCUCAUGCACGGAGCACUCCACUCCAAAACAGAGCAUAGUCCCA